AACGCAGGCCGCGCCUUGCACGUCAUUCGUGAUGUGGCAAGGCAUCUAUGUAUGAGUGUCAGCCUAACAUCCUUUUGGUUUAAUAGUAAUAUUAUUUUAUUAUUAAAUCCAUUAUGCGAGUAUCGAAAUUUUAUUUCGUUACACGCGAUUAACAGAAUGUGUCUGGCCUCAUAUAUGGAAGGUUACCCGCUGGAUUUAA
Molecule: unclassified non-coding RNA, 199 nt
Filed under: uncultured soil eukaryote
Lineage: Eukaryota
Description: sequence contains 5.8S rRNA gene, ITS2, 28S rRNA gene
Source: RNAcentral